RNAcentral lists this non-coding RNA (302 nucleotides) under Mycobacterium sp. ACS1612. RNAcentral's name for it is "Mycobacterium smegmatis small RNA 1". It matches the Rfam family "Mycobacterium smegmatis small RNA 1". Rfam says of the family: Mycobacterium smegmatis small RNA 1 is highly expressed during stationary phase of growth. Ms1 RNA directly interacts with RNA polymerase (RNAP), but in a different way than 6S, which is present in other bacteria. Ms1 does not require the presence of the main sigma factor for RNAP interaction. Lineage: Bacteria; Bacillati; Actinomycetota; Actinomycetes; Mycobacteriales; Mycobacteriaceae. The record is from Rfam by way of RNAcentral.
ACGGAAGCCAGGGGCGGCCAAGACCGAGCCGGAAGAGAAGGCUCGAUCUCCCAAACCCGGCCUCCCAGCACGGAUCCCGGCACCCACGCGGAGCACAUACCGCGGAAUAGGUAAAAGUGUUGCGGGCCUGCGUGAUUGCGAAGAGCGAACGGCCACGACGACCCUUUGGGUGGGGUUGGGGUCGUAGCGCAUCGCAACGACGCCGAGGCCACCCACGCAACCCACACAGCACGCUUGGUAACCGGAGUCCGUGCUAGCGGGCGGCGAGCCGAAUCAGUUCGGAGCGUCGCCCGCUUCGCGUU